CCGCCGGCUGCCGGGGUGUCGCCGAGGAGAGCCACGGGAAAGGGGGGCUCUUCUCUCAUUGACUGUAGCCAAGUGGAACUUAAGUUACUUCGAGAUGGCUGCCUAGUGUCUAGAGUGGAUUUGUCAGAGCGGGACACCAGACUUUCUCUCCGCUUAGGGAAGAUCAGCUACCUAGCGAGAAGUAUUGUGAAGCUAAUGAAAUUUUGGGCAUACUGCUUGUUUGAAAUGGGACAGAGUCUGACCUCCAGAAGUGUGGUAUGUGGAGUUGGGAAGGACGAAGGUGGAAGUACAAGAAUGUUCUCAUAGCAAUCCUUGCAGAAGAUAAGAAACACAAAAGGAUAUUUUCUUACAGACUUUUUCUGUAGCAAAUAUGAUGCUUGAGACAGGACUCUGAUGCUUGUGUUGUUCUGGUAGGCUCAGGAAUGUGUGAAGCACCACAUGGAAAUACACAGAAGAGAGACUGUAUCUUAAGCGCUUUAUAUUCUGGAAAGAGAGAUGCGUGAGUAGUGAGGAAAAGACGAAUAACUCACUGGCCGUGCAACCCCUGAAGGCAGUAGUCCUCUAUUUGUCUGUAAGACAGGACAUUGCAAGCUGCAUUGGCAGAGCCUUUUUCUGCCAUCUUACUGUAUAGGCACAGAUGUGGUCUUUUCUUUUGAAGGACCUUCCUAAGUCAUUCAGUCUGUAGUCCCUGUAUUGUCAACAAACAAAUGGGGUGGUUAACACUACCUGUGUUAAUAGAAAGCUGGAAAUCAAACCUGAGCUCUUUUUAGCACUGGUGUCUUCAUAACUUGAAGUCAGCAAAGUGUCAGUACAAGGGUUUGCAGCUCUAGCAGUGCUCCUCCUGUGGGCGGUGUUGCCUUCGUGUGCUCUUGUUUUGCUUCACUUCAGGUGUGCAAACAAAAGCUGUUGUCCAAAAACCUUUUCGUUUUUGCAGUGUUUGACUCUUUCUUGAUCUUUGUCUGCUUCUCGAAAUAGCUGUCAUGUUGACCCUUACUGCACAUCCUGGCCAGUAAGAGGUGCUUCCCCUUUCCUCCCUGCAGCUGCAUUCUUUGUGCAGAGCUAAGAAGUGCUGUGUUACAUUGCUGUUGCUUUCAGGUGUGUCUCACCCAG
RNAcentral lists this long non-coding RNA (1110 nucleotides) under Struthio camelus australis. Its description in RNAcentral is "lncRNA (ENSSCUG00000009692.1)". Lineage: Eukaryota; Metazoa; Chordata; Aves; Struthioniformes; Struthionidae. The record is from RNAcentral.